UGUUGGAGAAGCUGAAUGGUAUGUCUGGCUGAGAGAGAUGAAGGGCAGCUCAAAACAUUAACAAAACUACAGGUUUACUUGGAAGUCAUUCUUCCUAAAGGCUGCAUGAAUGCUUUUAGAGCAACCAAGGAUGGAUGAAGCUAAGCAGUAUGAAACUGACCAUUUUCUGGACAGAAGACUAGGACAGAAGACUAGGAGCCAACAGCCAAAUAGCCCAAGAAAGAAUGAUUAUAUCCCUACAGCAGUCUUCAAAGUGCUGGAGUCACCGAGUGGAAUAGGAAAUGAACCGCAGUUCAGUGACCCUCUGUGGCCCAAACAGUGGGAGAUGCUAAGCACA
This is a long non-coding RNA of Hemicordylus capensis (graceful crag lizard), 337 nucleotides long. RefSeq lists it as uncharacterized. The record is from RefSeq and is a predicted model, not a curated record. Lineage: Eukaryota; Metazoa; Chordata; Lepidosauria; Squamata; Cordylidae. The transcript is spliced from 3 exons.